GGCCAGAAAGGGCACACCCGCCGCAAGGUGGGGUCGCAAAGCCAGGGGACCGCACCCGCGGUCAGCCCAGCUGCCUCG
Molecule: non-coding RNA, 78 nt
Filed under: actinobacterium acAMD-2
Lineage: Bacteria; Bacillati; Actinomycetota; Actinomycetes
Description: Actinobacterium acAMD-2 c-di-GMP sequence
Rfam family: c-di-GMP-I riboswitch aptamer
About the family: GEMM was predicted in a large-scale screen for bacterial structured RNA regulatory elements. Genes associated with GEMM are involved in a diverse array of functions, including chemotaxis regulation, signal transduction, secretion and chitin.
Source: RNAcentral